CCCUAGUAACUGCGAGUGAAGCGGGAAAAGCUCAAAUUUAAAAUCUGGCGGUCUUUGGCCGUCCGAGUUGUAAUCUAGAGAAGUGUUACCCGCGUCGGACCGUGUAUAAGUCUCCUGGAAUGGAGCGUCAUAGAGGGUGAGAAUCCCGUCUUUGACACGGACUACCGAGGCUUUGUGGUGCGCUCUCAAAGAGUCGAGUUGUUUGGGAAUGCAGCUCAAAAUGGGUGGUAAAUUCCAUCUAAAGCUAAAUAUUGGCGAGAGACCGAUAGCGAACAAGUACCGUGAGGGAAAGAUGAAAAGAACUUUGGAAAGAGAGUUAAACAGUACGUGAAAUUGCUGAAAGGGAAACGCUUGAAGUCAGUCGCGUUGGCCGGAAAUCAACCUUGCUUUUUGCUGGGCGUACUUUCUGGUUGACGGGCCAGCAUCAGUUUUGACCGAUGGAAAAAGUCUAGGGGAAUGUGGCAUCUUCGGAUGUGUUAUAGCCCUUGGUCGUAUACAUCGGUUGGUACUGAGGAACUCAGCACGCCGCAAGGCCGGGUCUUUGACCACGUUCGUGCUUAGGAUGCUGGCAUAAUGGCUUUAAUCGACCCGUCUUGAAACACGGACCAAGGAGUCUAACAUGCCUGCGAGUGUUUGGGUGGAAAACCCGGACGCGUAAUGAAAGUGAAAGUUGAGAUCCCUGUCAUGGGGAGCAUCGACGCCCGGACCUGAAGUUUUCUGACGGCCCUGCGGUAGAGCAUGUAUGUUGGGACCCGAAAGAUGGUGAACUAUGCCUGAAUAGGGUGAAGCCAGAGGAAACUCUGGUGGAGGCUCGUAGCGAUUCUGACGUGCAAAUCGAUCGUCAAAUUUGGGUAUAGGGGCGAAAGACUAAUCGAACCAUCUAGUA
This 886-nucleotide ribosomal RNA is filed under the name Psathyrella sp. RNAcentral describes it as "LSU rRNA". It matches the Rfam family "Eukaryotic large subunit ribosomal RNA", at positions 78 to 949 of the family's 3401-position model. Lineage: Eukaryota; Fungi; Basidiomycota; Agaricomycetes; Agaricales; Psathyrellaceae. The record is from RNAcentral.